UUUGUUUGUGCUAUCUAAAUCACGAAAGAAAAAAUUUGAGUUCAGUGUCCCUUUAAGUAUCAGUGAUAUAGGGAUGCUUUUAAACACAAGCAUUUAGCUUCUCCAUUUCUUAAAAAUCAAUGUCAGCACAUGAUACAUUUAAAGACAUACAUAUACAUGUUACCUAUUGUGAAUACUAUUGUAUCAGGAUAUGCCUGAUGAAACAGCGAGGAAGCUGAGAAACGCGUUGCAAUAUUUUAUUACAUAGAGGUUAUUGUCACACCCUAUAUUUUUAAAUUAUUGUGUUUUAUUAAAACCUAUUUUUGAUACCAAACUUGUCUGAGAGCCUGAGUCUUGCCUUUCAGGUUGGGUAGACGCCCGGAGCAGAGGUGUACAAGAACCAAGGAGCAGUGAGCUGGGACAGAGAGAUCCCAGUAGGUGUUACUAAGCACAAGUGGGUGCUGCUACCAUUAAUUCGUUAUUCGUUCCAUUGCUAUAUUGGGAAGGAGCAACCGGCAGUUGGGAGCACAGAAUAUCUUGUAGUCCCAGAGAGGGACAUUUCUAUUUCCCAGACCAUUUACAUGGACUAACAAGAUAAGAAGUACUUUUGACAAAAGUCUGUUAUAUUUAUAUUUUGUGGAUCUGGGCUAAAAAAGAUUUGUUUAUUGAUUUGUGUAUACGUAUAUACGUGUUUAUAUAUAUUUUUUACUAUUAAGUCAUUAUAAAGUUUAUAUUAUUUGUGCAUAUUGCACCCCCUUUAGUGGUGACAAGGUAUUGUCACUAGUAUUGUUGAAUACUAUUGUAAAAGCUAAAAAUAAAGCAAAAAUGAAAUGCA
Molecule: long non-coding RNA, 814 nt
Organism: Bombina bombina (fire-bellied toad)
Lineage: Eukaryota; Metazoa; Chordata; Amphibia; Anura; Bombinatoridae
Exons: 2
Source: RefSeq, a predicted model, not a curated record